GGGUCAGUAGGUUGGUCGUGCCACCGGUACGUACUGGUCUCACUGAUUCCUCCUUCCUAAAGAACCGUAAUGCCAUUAAUUUGGUGUUGCGGGGAAACAGGACUGUUACUUUGAAAAAAUUAGAGUGUUUAAAGCAAGCUAACGCUUGAAUGCAUUAGCAUGGAAUAAUGAAAUAGGACGAUCGAUCCUAUUUUGUUGGUUUCUAGGAUUGACGUA
This 216-nucleotide ribosomal RNA is filed under the name Glomeromycotina sp. RNAcentral describes it as "partial small subunit ribosomal RNA". The stretch from base 40 to 216 matches the Rfam family "Eukaryotic small subunit ribosomal RNA", at positions 686 to 864 of the family's 1831-position model. Lineage: Eukaryota; Fungi; Glomeromycota. The record is from RNAcentral.